RNAcentral lists this transfer RNA (73 nucleotides) under Danio rerio (zebrafish). It matches the Rfam family "tRNA". From Rfam's summary of the family: Transfer RNA (tRNA) molecules are approximately 80 nucleotides in length. Their secondary structure includes four short double-helical elements and three loops (D, anti-codon, and T loops). Further hydrogen bonds mediate the characteristic L-shaped molecular structure. tRNAs have two regions of fundamental functional importance: the anti-codon, which is responsible for specific mRNA codon recognition, and the 3' end, to which the tRNAs corresponding amino acid is attached (by aminoacyl-tRNA synthetases). tRNAs cope with the degeneracy of the genetic code in two manners: having more than one tRNA (with a specific anti-codon) for a particular amino acid; and 'wobble' base-pairing, i.e. permitting non-standard base-pairing at the 3rd anti-codon position. The record is from Rfam by way of RNAcentral. Lineage: Eukaryota; Metazoa; Chordata; Actinopteri; Cypriniformes; Danionidae.
GCUUGGCUAGCUCAGUCGGUAGAGCAUGAGACCCUUAAUCUCAGGGUUGUGGGUUUGAGCUCCACGUUGGGUG